Long non-coding RNA from Columba livia (rock pigeon), 911 nucleotides. RefSeq lists it as uncharacterized. The record is from RefSeq and is a predicted model, not a curated record. The transcript has 2 exons. Lineage: Eukaryota; Metazoa; Chordata; Aves; Columbiformes; Columbidae.
ACUAUGUGAUUCUCUAGCCUUGACAAAAUCACUAACAGGGGCAGAACAUGCUACCAACCUAUCUGCUCUAGCAUUCCCUUCCCCAAGGCCACAAUCCCACAUAUGACUACGGAUGUGAAUCACUGCAUAUGGUUUUGUUCUUCCUUGAAUUAAUGUACGCAACUGUCUAAACAGUUCUCCCAAGCGCAGUUGCUUAACAUCCUUAAUCUGAGAAUCUUCUAUCCUGUGUAACACACCCGCGACAUACAGCGAAUCGGUCACAAUAUUAAUUGUUUCCUCUCUCCACUUCCCCAUGGCCCAUACAACAGCAGCAAGCUCCAAUGUCUGCAAGGAAUCUCCCGGAACAGCUUCCAGCAAGUGGUGGUGCCACUCACCACAAGCGAUCCAGGUAACUGCAGCUCUUCUGGACCUUUUUCCUGCAUCCGUAAACACUGUCUGGGCAUCUUCUAGGGGUGAUUUACUGCGGAGAGGUUUCUGCAUCCAUUCAUUGUGACCAAUAAACUGCACUAUUGCCGCCUUUACAGGAGACAAGGAUAUAGUUGUAGCUGAUGAGAAUAAACACUCACACAACUCCUCGCUAUUCUGAAGAGAGAUCCACCGGAGUGGAGGGAUCGGUUCCACGCAGCAAUGGUCGUAACACCUCUAACUGCGUAUUGGUAAUACCCACGACAGGCCUUAACCAUUGUAAAUCCCCCAUGAGUUUCUGAACAUCAUGAAGUGUCCUAAUAUCUGUGGUAAUAUGCGGUUUUUGCGGUCGAAUUUGGGAGUCAGUAAUUUUCCACCCUAAGUACAACCACGGUUCUUGUCGCUGAAUUUUUUCCUUAGCAAUUACUAAACCCUCCUUAUACAACUGACAAUGUAAAAAUUGCAAUUGUUGCUCAGUAAAGUCUUGUUCUUGUGCAAUAAGAAUA